UUGGAGGGCAGUCUGGUGCCAGCAGCCGCGGUAAUUCCAGCUCCAAUAGCGUAUAUUAAAGUUGUUGCAGUUAAAAAGCUCGUAGUUGAAUUUCGAGACCGGUUUACUGGUCGUGCUUUUGUACGUACUGGUAUAAUCGGUUUCUCUUUUCUGGCGAACUAUAAUGCCAUUAAUUUGGUGUUAUAGGGAAUCAGGACUGUUACUUUGAAAAAAUUAGAGUGUUUAAAGCAGGC
RNAcentral lists this ribosomal RNA (233 nucleotides) under uncultured Glomus. Its description in RNAcentral is "partial 18S ribosomal RNA". It matches the Rfam family "Eukaryotic small subunit ribosomal RNA", at positions 548 to 785 of the family's 1831-position model. Lineage: Eukaryota; Fungi; Glomeromycota; Glomeromycetes; Glomerales; Glomeraceae. The record is from RNAcentral.